GUUGAUAGGAUAGGGCACCCUAAAAAACUGGGGAGAGGAGUUUGGGGUCGGGGCCUCGGAAAGGCGGGAGGUGCCCCACCGCUUUAGAAGCCUGGCGCAGUGCACGACGGGACGCCCCCGGGAAGGGGCGGAGCCGUGUCCGGGCUGCGGUUGGGAAAGCGCCGUCACUUGGAGGGGCGUGUUGAAGAGGGUUUCGCGGGCUCGAGCGGGGGAGGGGGGACCGUUAAAACCCUGCACCGCGCCCACAGGAAGCUGCUUUAAUGGCUAGGUCUACUUGGUACCAGGCUUUCGGCUGGGAAGGACCUUGAAGACCGUGCGGUUCAACUUCCAAUUUGCAGAUGUGGAAACUGAAGCCGAGAGAGGGCACGUGGGAUCUUAGCUCUCCGACCAGGGCUCAAACCUACACCCCCUGCACUGGAAGGUGAAGUCUUAACCACUGGACCGCCAGGGAAGUCCCCCUGCCAGAUGACGACCUGAGUUCCAGAGAGUGCCUUGCCGAAGGUUGCACAAGUCAGCGUUGGAGCCUCUAGCAGAACUCAGGUCUCCUGGCACCCAGUGAUGCAUUAAAAUACUUUUUUAAAAACUGUGGUUAAAAAAAAUUACCAUCAACCAUUUUUAAGUGUAUAGUUCAGUAGUGUUAAGUAUAGUCACAUGGUUGUGUAACAAAUCUCUAGAACUUACUCAUCUUGCAAAACUGAAACUUUAUAUCCAUUGAACAACAACUCUCUACUUUCCCCUCACCCCUGCCCCUGGCAACCACCAUACACUUUCUGUGUCUAUGAAUUUAAGUAUUCUAGAUACCUUCUGUAAGUGGAAUCACACAGUGUGUGUCUCUGUGAUUGGCUCAUUUCACUUAGCAUAUGUCCUCGAGGUUGAUACAUUUCCUCCCUUAAGGCUGAACAGUAUUACAUUGUUUGUAGCACAUUUUGUUUAUCCAUUCUUCCAUCAACAGACACUUAGGUUGCUUCCACCUUUUAGCUAUUACGAAUAAUGCUGCUCUGAGCAUGGGUAUACACGUAUCUGAGAUCUUGUGUUCAGUUCUUUUGGAUAUAUACUUGGAAGUGAGAUUCCAGUAAUGCAUUUUUUAAAUUCUCCAUCUCAUUCCAAAAAUGAUUUGAGGCCACUGUCCCAGCACCUUCAUAAGUAUUAAAAAAAAAAAAGUUCUGAAUUUCUAAUGAAUGAACAAAGGGGCCAGAAUGGAACAGAGGAGACAACAGAAAGGAGUGGCCUAUGAGAAGUCUGGUAGAAUAAAGCUUUUUACCUUUACCCUCGGGAAGUAGCUGCAAAUAAUUAAGAUCCACCAGAGAUGGACUGGAGUGGCCAAAGCUUGUUUUCUCAUCUACAUAAAGGUCUCCAAAACAUUCACAGAGUAAAUAAGCCCUGUGCAUAUGAAAGGGUCACAAAGGAGGGAUUCGGUAUUCAUGAUACCUGGUCUGUACAGGGGUGGGUGCACAAACUCAGAUAUUCUGGGCCUGUCAUGCGACCUUCAUAAAGGAUCUAGUCAGAGUGGGGACUGUGGUAGAGUAUGCUGGUCAUAAGUCUGUACUCAGCUCCAGACAUGGAUGUCAGAUCUUGAUUUUUCAAGAAAAACUAGAUACCCCUGAAACUAAUACAACAUUAUAAGUCAACUAUACUUCAAUAAAAUUUUGAAAAGCUGGCAAUCUGGAUUUUUAUGUGAAAUACCAUGAUUUUUUAAAGCUGGCAUUUAAAUUUUCAAAAAGAUUUAAAAGGCAUUGUGUAAAUCAAAGACGAAAUACAAGUCUGCAACCUCUGGUGUGUGGUACUGUGGACAUUUAUGGUAGUUAGUGACCUCUGGGGAAGAAUUGUGUCUGGUUUGUUUGGCCAGGGCUAGGAAGAGGUUAAUGGGGCCUAAAUCAAAUGCCUGUACCUGCACAAGCUCUGCCCUUCUGUCCUCGGGUAAAGUUUAAUGUGUUGCAGGCAGAGAGGAAGUGGCCUAAAAUGAACCAUUAAGUUCUCCUGGUAGCAUAUCUGUGCCGGUCAGACAGGAGAGGAGGGCCCCCAAUUUCACAUCAUUUCUGUGAGAUUCGUCUGUGCCUACUUCACAGAACCGCUGUAAGAAUAAAACAUCACAGAUUUGGAAAGGUGUUGAAUUUCUCCUAAAAUGUAAUGCAGGUGCUAACUGGGAUAAUUAUCUUGCUGUGAAGAGCUCAGAAGAGUGUAAUGUUUUGGGAACAGCUUCUACAAAAGCUGACCUAGGAGAUGCUGGGCCCCAGCUGUGGCUGGAAGAAAUGAAGGGGAAAGAAUGUGUCAGCCGUUGUGCUCUGGUGGGUUUGAGAAGGAGGCAGAACACUGAUCUUUCCUGGAAGUGACAUUGAGGAGUCAGUGUGGAGUUGAGAAAUACAUGUGGCCAUAAAUGGCAUGACCCUGCUCCAAACAGCUCAGCUCAUGCCUGGCUUCGUGAACCGCACACUGGAAGUUUCAACUGAAAUAAACUUCUGACCUUUCCAUCAGUUCCUUUAAGUCAGAGUUUUAUAUGUUAUAGACUAUUUCAGGGACUUCCCUGGCAGUCCAGUGGUUAAGACUCCUCACUUCCACUGCAGGGGGCACGGGUUCGAUCCCUGGUCGGGGAACUAAGAUCCUGCAAGCUGCAUGGCACGGUCAGAAAAAAAAAAAAAGACAAUUUCAUAUUCCCACUUAGAAGAUUUGAACUGUUACUUCUAUUACUUAAGAAAGCAGCAGCACUGCUUAUUACUACUACUGGUAUCAUAAUGUUAGUAAUAUUCCUAUCAUGCUUUAUAACUUACAAGACCUUUCACUUGCAUUCUUCUCAUUUUGUUUCCUGGUAACUCAGAUUAUUAUUUCUCACUUUACAGAUAAGGAAACUGAUGGUUUCCCAUUGUCCUUUAGCUAAAGUUUAGAAUCUUCAACGUGACUUAAGUCCCUCCCUAGUCUGGGCCUUGCCUACCUCUCCAGAUCCCUCUUUCACUACCUUCCCAAGACCUCUCUUUGUUCCAGCUAUUCUGGGUUUCUUUUGAGUUCCUUAAGUAGGUCAGGUUCUCUCCAGCCAUAGGCCUUGUGUAGCAUGUGCUGUUUCUUCCACCUAGAACACUUUUCCCUGUCCUCUUUGCCUGGCUAGCAACUACUCAUCUUUUGGGUCUCAGUUUAACACCAUUUCUUCACGGGAGCCUUUCCUGAACAUUGAGGCUAUGUUGGACUCCCCAGUAAUAUCCUUUUUCCCCCCG
Long non-coding RNA from Physeter macrocephalus (sperm whale), 3203 nucleotides. RefSeq lists it as uncharacterized. The transcript has 3 exons. Lineage: Eukaryota; Metazoa; Chordata; Mammalia; Artiodactyla; Physeteridae. The record is from RefSeq and is a predicted model, not a curated record.